GAAAAAACACACGCUUUCUCUGUAAAACUCCAUUGAAGAACUAAACCCAAGCACCUCGGCUUCUCCCCAGCAUAAAAGCUAGAGCUACGUUUUUUUGUCUUCUGGGUUGUUGUUUUCUUUGCAUAAUGUUGUGGUGAAAGUGCUUGCUUCUGCACAAAAAUGGCUUUUCAGGAUCAUGUUUCACAUGAAAUGGCUUUUCAAUCACCACUCUCUGCCUCUGCCUCUUCCUCCGCUUCUGCUGGUCCGGCGUGGCUUAGCAACGCUGUGCUCCGUCUCAACAACGACGGUUUAGGUCGGAGCCGAAGCGAGAAAGGCGGCCAUAAUAAUAAUAACAACGGUGGUGAGGAUGAGUUGAUAGAUGGCAGCGGCGCUGGUGGGGAUAAUUGGGAGAGGGCGAAGUGCAAAGCGGAGAUAUUGGGUCAUCCGCUUUACGAGCAGUUGCUAGCGGCUCAUGUUGCUUGUUUGAGGAUAGCGACACCGGUGGACCAGCUGGCGAGGAUCGACACGCAGCUCGCUCAGUCGCAGGAAGUGGUGGCUAAGUACUCCGUGCUUGGGAAUGGUCAAGUGGUGGACGAGAAAGAGCUUGACCAGUUUAUGACACAUUAUGUUCUAUUACUCUGUUCCUUUAAAGACCAAUUGCAACAACAUGUUCGAGUUCAUGCUAUGGAGGCUGUAAUGGCUUGUUGGGAGCUUGAGCAAUCGCUGCAAAGCUUGACAGGUGCAUCACUGGGUGAAGGCACGGGUGCAACAAUGUCUGAUGAUGAUGAUGANUAGUGACACCAACUUGUAUGAUGGAGGUCUGGAUGGGGCAGAUUGCAUGGGUUUUGGUCCUCUUGUCCCCACUGAAAGUGAGAGGUCAUUGAUGGAGCAUGUAAGGAAAGAAUUAAAACAUGAAUUGAAACAGGGUUACAAAGGGAAGAUUGUGGACAUUAGAGAGGAAAUUCUACGUAAGAGAAGGGCAGGAAAAUUGCCGGGAGAUACUACCUCCCUAUUAAAAGCUUGGUGGCAAUCUCAUUCUAAGUGGCCGUAUCCAACUGAGGA
Molecule: unclassified non-coding RNA, 1041 nt
Filed under: Hevea brasiliensis (rubber tree)
Lineage: Eukaryota; Viridiplantae; Streptophyta; Magnoliopsida; Malpighiales; Euphorbiaceae
Source: RNAcentral